GACCAAAAAUCCAGCCUAUAAUAAUAUUAUAACCCCCUACCUCAACAUACUUAUUACAUAAAACAUUUUAACUUUUCUAGUAGAGGUGAUCAAACAACAUACAAGCGCUUAAGAGAUAGUACCGAAAGGGAAAGAUGAAAUAAAAAUUAAAUAACUUUAAAGUCAACUAAAGCAGAGAUUUAAACUCGUACCUUUUGCAUCAUGGUCCAGCCAGUCCAACCAAGCAAAGAAAUUUUUAGUUUGGAACCCCGAAACUAAGCGAGCUACUUCAAAACAGCUUCAAGAGCCAACCCAUCUCUGUGGCAAUAGAGUGGGAAGAUUUUCAAGUAGCAGUGAAAGGCCAAACGAGCUUAGAGAUAGCUGGUUGUUCAGGAAAAGAAUAUUAGUUCUGCCUUAAAUUUUCUUAUGCCACUAAACAAACCUUAAAAAUUUAAGAGUUAUUCAACUAAGGCACAGCUUAUUUGAAACAGGGUACAACCUACACACCAGGGUAAAAUGCUAAAUCUUAUUCCAAGUGGGCCUAAGAGCAGCCAUCUUUUAAAAAGCGUUAAAGCUUAACCAAUUUAUUCAUAAAUUCCACAAAUUUUCAUGAACCCACACCUGAUACUGAACGACCCCAUAAAAAUAUGGGAAACAUUAUGCUGGAACCAGUAACAAGAAUAUAACAUUCUCCUCAAUGCAAGCAUAAGCCAAAAUAGAUUAACUACUGGCUAUUAACGAUAAUGAACAAACUACAGCAACACAACAAGAAAACCCUGUACCACCCCUCUCGUUAACCUAACACUAGAGCAUUUCAGGAAAGAUUAAAAGAGGAAGAAGGAACUCGGCAAAUUUUAACCCCGCCUGUUUACCAAAAACAUCGCCUCUUGACAACUAUAAGAGGUCCAGCCUGCCCAGUGAUAAAUUCAACGGCCGCGGUAUCCUAACCGUGCGAAGGUAGCAUAAUCACUUGUUCUUUAAAUAGGGACUCGUAUCAACGGCAUCACGAGGGUUACACUGUCUCCUUCCUCCAAUCAGUGAAACUGAUCUCCCCGUGAAGAAGCGGGGAUAAACUAAUAAGACGAGAAGACCCCAUGGAGCUUUAAAUCUCACUGCAACUCUAGCACUUAAUUCCUCUACAACCCUCAGAGAAAUGCACGUCGGUUUUAGGUUGGGGUGACCGCGGAGUAAAAACUAUCCUCCACGACGAAAAGAACUAAAUCUUUAUCUAAGAGCAACCACUCUAAGAACUAGCAUACUAACGAAUAAUGACCCGAUAAUCGAUCAACGGACCAAGUUACCCUGGGGAUAACAGCGCAAUCUACUUCAAGAGCCCAUAUCGACAAGUAGGCUUACGACCUCGAUGUUGGAUCAGGGUACCCCAGUGGUGCAGCCGCUACUAACGGUUCGUUUGUUCAACGAUUAAAAC
Molecule: ribosomal RNA, 1408 nt
Filed under: Rhacophorus borneensis (Bornean smaller gliding frog)
Lineage: Eukaryota; Metazoa; Chordata; Amphibia; Anura; Rhacophoridae
Description: partial 16S rRNA
Rfam family: Bacterial large subunit ribosomal RNA
Source: RNAcentral